UUGAGAGUUUGAUCCUAGCUCAGGAUGAACGCUGGCGGCGUGCCUUAGGCAUGCAAGUCGAACGGCCGGAGAUCAGAUUUCGGAAAUCGGAUUUCGGAUAUAAUUAGAGAAGUGAUGGAUGUAACGGAAUUGAGAGUGUAUAGGCAAUCAUUAGAUGCAUUUCUAUUAAUUGAAGAGAUUGCAAAACAAUUGCCAAAAGAGUUAGCUGAUACAAGAAGACAAAUAUUAAGAUGCUCAAAAGCUGUUGCACCCAUUAUUGCAGAGGGUUUUGGACGUAGACAUUCACAAAGAGAAUUUGGACAUUACGUAAUUCAAGCUAUGAGUUCUUCAGAUGAGACAAUAACCCAUUUGAGAACAAUUGCUAUUUCCAAAUUUAAUACUGUUUCAAUCGAUCAGUUGAAACAUGCGGCGAGUGUCUAUAAAUCUCUUUCCAAACAACUCAACAAACUUUUCACUUCUUUAAUAGUCUGAAAUCUGACUUCUGAUAUCCGAUCUCCGGCAGUGGCGGAAGGGUGAGUAAUGCAUAGGAACGUACCUUUUGGUGGGGAAUAACCCGGCGAAAGCCGGGCUAAUACCUCGUAAUCCCGCAAGGGUAUAGGGCUUAACCGCCCGCCGAAAGAGUGGCCUAUGUCCUAUCAGCUUGUUGGUGGGGUAAUGGCCUACCAAGGCAACGACGGGUAGCUGGGCUGAGAGGUCGGCCAGCCACAAGGGAACUGAGACACGGUCCCUACACCUACGGGUGGCAGCAACCGGGAAUUUUGGACAAUGGGCGAAAGCCUGAUCCAGCGACGCCGCGUGGAGGAAGAAGGCCUUAGGGUUGUAAACUCCUUUUGGCCCGCAUAAUGCGGGCAGAAUAAGCACCUGCUAACUACGUGCCAGCAGCCGCGGUGAUACGUAGGGUGCAAGCGUUAUCCGGAUUUACUGGGCGUAAAGGGUUGCGUAGGCGGCUUGUUAAGUCAAAACUGAAAUACUCUCGCUCAACGAGGGGGACGGUUUUGAUACUAGCAGGCUUUGAGUCUUUCAGAGGUAGCUGGAACUUGCAGUGGAGCGGUGAAAUGCGUUGAUAUUGCAAGGAACACCGAAGGCGUAGGCAAGCUACUGGGAAAGAUCCCUGUACCAUUCGGUACGGGACGGGCUGCAUCGUAAGAUGCGCCUAGUCUGACGCUGAUGCACGAAAGCUAGGGGAGCGAAAGGGAUUAGAGACCCCUGUAGUCCUAGCCGUAAAUGAUGGAUACUAGAUGUCCGGCUCGCAAAGUCGUAUGACUUUGCGAGAACAUUUGACAUUUAACAAAUUAACAUUUGACUAUUGGAAAAUUUUGUAAAUUUUUUAAGUCAAUUGUUAAAUGUUACUAGUUAAUUGUUCGAGCAAAAUCGUAGAUUUUGCGAGCUGGAUGUCGCAAGCUAACGCGUUAAGUGUCCCGCCUGGGAAGUACGGCCGCAAGGCUAAAACUCAAAGGAAUUGACGGGGACCCGCACAAGCGGUGGAGCAUGUGGUUCAAUUCGACACAAAGCGAAAAACCUUACCAGGAUUUGACAUCCUAACUGCACCCUAGUGGAAACACCGGGCUUCUUCGAGAGUGUUAGGACAGGUGCUGCAUGGCUGUCGUCAGCUUGUACCGUGAGGCGCACCCUUAAGUGGGUCAACAAGCGCAACCCCCAUCCUGUGUUAUAUUUCACAGGAAACUGCCCGCUAAAAGCGAGGAGGAAGGUGGGGAUGACGUCAAGUCAGCACGGCCCUUAUGUCCUGGGCUACACACAUCCUACAAUGGGUAUUUGACAACAGGUUUGCAAUCCGGUAACGGAAAGCUAAUCCCCAAAAAUACCCUCAGUUCAGAUUGAGGGCUGCAAUUUGCCCUCAUGAAGUUGAAAUCGCUAGUAAUCGCGGAUCAGCAGGCCGCGGUGAAUACGUUCUCGGGUCUUGUACACACCGCC
This 1932-nucleotide ribosomal RNA is filed under the name Candidatus Curtissbacteria bacterium. RNAcentral's name for it is "bacterial SSU rRNA". The stretch from base 372 to 1932 matches the Rfam family "Bacterial small subunit ribosomal RNA". The record is from RNAcentral. Lineage: Bacteria; Candidatus Curtissiibacteriota.